GAGCGUCGCACGCUUUGCGUAGAUGAGGGAUGGCGCCGGCGCAGGCCUGCGCGCCACGCGCUUUAGGUGGAUGAGGGAUGGCGCAGGUGCAGGCCUGCGCGCCUCACGCUUUAUGUACAUGAGGGAUGAGGCAGCACAGGAAUUGGCACAACCUGAAGUCAGCUCUGCAGCUUUCCAAGCUUCGUUCUGCGUGUCCUGUACUCAACAGUCAUCUCAUGCUGCAGGGUGGCUGCGUGUGCUCCGUACAUCACACCCAUAUUUCAGGGAGAAGACUGCACAUAUAACACAGCUCUGCAUGGAAAACCUUCCGCCUGGAGGGGUGGCUUCCUAGAGGUGUGGCGUUGCCCUCUGUCUUGAACAGGCUGUGAGCCGUUUUGUCAUUUGGGGUUUCUAGAUGCAAACAGCAGAAGCUGCUGGCCAAUUACCAAAGGGAACGUGCUGUUAGGAUAUCAGGGCCUGGGAGCUGCAGCAAUGUGGGCUGACAGCAGAGAGCUAAGGCACUUUCCGAGGUGACGAGCUGGGCUGCUAUGCUGGAGACGGCUGGGCAGAAGCAGUUAGCAGGGCAUUUCCUUGUGUCCUUAUCUCAAGAGUCACAGUUUCAGGAGUGAGCAUCUCAGAGGUCAGGGUUCAUUCACAUGCCACCUCCCUUCUCACUGUGUCAUUGGGGAGGGGCCGUCUGGACCCUCUGGCUCCUGUGGCAAGAAAUGGUCCCAUCAAGUCAUCCAAGGGCCUGGAAGCCUCCCAAGGAAAGCAGGAGGGCUGGGUGCUGAGCAGCGUCCAGCAGCAAAGGCACUUUCCAGGGCACAUCACGUGGGUGUGCGGUCUGGCUGCUGGGUCCACGCGGGUUCUCAAUCAUGACCUGGCUUGCAAGCUCUUUCCACAGUUGGAUAAAUGAAGCCGUUGGGGAAGUAUCCGCAAACUCUUACAGUGAGUAUGUGAUAAUGACACACGCGUGGCCCUUCUAAGACCUCCGCUAGGCAUUAUCAGUGACUGUGCUCGUGAGCGCUGACCUCCGCUAGGCGUUAUCAGGGACUGUGCUCGUGAGCGCCGACCUCCGCUAGGCGUUAUCAGGGACUGUGCUCGUGAGCGCGGACCUCCGCUAGGCGAUAUCAGGGACUGUGCUCAUGAGGGCGGACUUUCACCAGCCACGCUUCCGAGGAGUGGAGUCUUUCUCAGCUCUGCCUCUCCAAGAUGACCAUCUUGUGAAGACGAUGCGUUCUUUAUACACAAGUUCUGUGUGUGUGUGUGUGUGUUCCACACACAGGACCAAAGUUGAGAUAGGCGCACAUUUUCUUGGUCCCACUUGUGGCCCCAGUCGGCUGUCAGAAGUGGGUGUGCUCCACAUGUACCCACCAUGUCAGGGCACAGUGCUCACAUUUCACACCUCAGCAGGUGCCUUGAUGUUGACCAGAGGCCCCAAAAUCAUCUCUUUCUAUGACUUCUAGAUCUUAGAUUCCCAGGAACUGGGAAAUGCAGUCAGUAUCUUUUGGGUCCAAGAAACUUUGUCAGAGCCCUUGUGGGAGAACCAUAGAUUCUCACCAGAUAAACAGAAGAGCUUCGUGUUAGAGAAACCCGCCUGUCUCCCCACAUUCUCAGUUUUCUGGAGAGCAGCUGAAAGCCAUCUGGGUGGAGAUUAAGAGCUCCAACCGUGUAGCUUUGAUGUAUCGGGCAAGUUGCUUAAGCUCUUUAAUGCUGUUUCCUCAUUUAUUGUGUGAGGCCAAAAAUACCCAUUCCUUAAAGUUGUGAGGAUUAAAAACAGUAAUGAAAAGUGAGUGGCAAGUGCCGAGUACACAGUCAAGUACCUGAUACUUUUUAGUGUAAGGUAAGUAGCAAGAAAGCAUGAAAUUUAUUUUCAUUUACUCUUACUACAUGUGGUAAACCAUCUAUGCACAGAGCACUGCAUUGGGUGCCAUGAAUGACAGAAUAAGAGUACCAGGUGCAUGAAAAGCUUAAAAGACAAAUGAGACAGAGCUAGGCUGCAGAAGACUUAAAAAGUUGAUGUAUUUAACUUUUAAUGGACACACUGUACAUGUUUAUGGGGUACGAUUUGUUGUUUCCAUGCAUAUCUGUGUUGUGUAAUGAUCCAAUCAGGGUAGUGUGUGUGCCCAUUUCCUCAAGGGUGGAUCAUUAUGUGUAUCAUCGUGCAUCAUCAUGUAUCAUGCAUGUACCAUCAUCAUGCAUCAUUGUGCAUCAUCAUGCCUGUAUCAUUAUGUAUCACCUCAUGCAUAUAUUAUAAUGUAUCACCUCAUGCGUGUAUUAUCAUGUAUCACCAUGCAUGUAUUGUGCAUGUGCCAUCAUCAUGCAUCAUUGUGCAUCAUCAUGCCUGUAUCAUUAAUCACCUCAUGCAUAUAUUAUAAUGUGUCA
This is a long non-coding RNA of Homo sapiens (human), 2364 nucleotides long. Ensembl annotates it as long intergenic non-protein coding RNA 200. NCBI's taxonomy places the organism in Eukaryota, Metazoa, Chordata, Mammalia, Primates, Hominidae. The record is from Ensembl.